This 28-nucleotide small RNA is filed under the name Bombyx mori (domestic silkworm). RNAcentral's name for it is "ovarian small RNA-7132". Lineage: Eukaryota; Metazoa; Arthropoda; Insecta; Lepidoptera; Bombycidae. The record is from RNAcentral.
UCCAACCUCCGCUGAGAUGUACGGUAAC